UAGGGAAUCUUCCGCAAUGGGCGAAAGCCUGACGGAGCAACGCCGCGUGAGUGAUGAAGGUCUUCGGAUCGUAAAACUCUGUUAUUAGGGAAGAACAAAUGUGUAAGUAACUAUGCACGUCUUGACGGUACCUAAUCAGAAAGCCACGGCUAACUACGUGCCAGCAGCCGCGGUAAUACGUAGGUGGCAAGCGUUAUCCGGAAUUAUUGGGCGUAAAACGCGCGUAGGCGGUUUUUUAAGUCUGAUGUGAAAGCCCACGGCUCAACCGUGGAGGGUCAUUGGAAACUGGAAAACUUGAGUGCAGAAGAGGAAAGUGGAAUUCCAUGUGUAGCGGUGAAAUGCGCAGAGAUAUGGAGGAACACCAGUGGCGAAGGCGACUUUCUGGUCUGUAACUGACGCUGAUGUGCGAAAGCGGGGGGAUCAAACAGG
RNAcentral lists this ribosomal RNA (429 nucleotides) under Actinomycetes bacterium. RNAcentral describes it as "Actinobacteria bacterium partial 16S ribosomal RNA". It matches the Rfam family "Bacterial small subunit ribosomal RNA", at positions 355 to 776 of the family's 1533-position model. Lineage: Bacteria; Bacillati; Actinomycetota; Actinomycetes. The record is from RNAcentral.